GAUGAACGCUAGCGGCAGGCCUAAUACAUGCAAGCCGAACGGCAAGAACUUUAGCAAUAGAGUUCCUAGAGUGGCGUAAGGGUGCGUAACACGUAUGCAAUCUGCCCUCAACAGGAGGAUAGCUCCCCGAAAGGGGAAUUAAGACUCCAUAAGAUCAUUUUAUGGCAUCAUGAGAUGAUUAAACUACCAGGGGUUGAGGAUGAGCAUGCGCAUGAUUAGUUAGUUGGCGGGUAACGGCCCACCAAGACGAUGAUCAUUAGGGGAACUGAGAGGUUGACUCCCCCACACUGGCACUGAGAUACGGGCCAGACUCC
RNAcentral lists this ribosomal RNA (314 nucleotides) under uncultured bacterium. RNAcentral's name for it is "bacterial SSU rRNA". It matches the Rfam family "Bacterial small subunit ribosomal RNA", at positions 28 to 339 of the family's 1533-position model. The record is from RNAcentral.